RNAcentral lists this transfer RNA (71 nucleotides) under Stegodyphus mimosarum. It matches the Rfam family "tRNA". From Rfam's summary of the family: Transfer RNA (tRNA) molecules are approximately 80 nucleotides in length. Their secondary structure includes four short double-helical elements and three loops (D, anti-codon, and T loops). The record is from Rfam by way of RNAcentral. Lineage: Eukaryota; Metazoa; Arthropoda; Arachnida; Araneae; Eresidae.
GCCUUUGGUGUGUAUCGGUAGCACACCCGGCGCACAUUCGAGAGGUCUGGGUUCGAAUCCCGGCGAGGGCA